GUUUAGAAGUAAAUGUCAUUCUUCCAAACUCAAGGACAGCCAGUGUAGUUUGCUUAUUAUUAUUUUCAUUCAUUUCUUUUGCUACUCUAAACGACCUGCAAAAGAAUUUGAGGAGGUAGGACUAAGAGGGACCAAUGACCAUCAAUUGUGAAACUUAAACAAGCAUGAAUGCUGAUUUGAAAUUUCAAUGAGGUAGGGGUAGGAGGUACUAUUGUAUUUUGGAGAGAGAGAGAGAGAGAGAGAGUUCAAUGCUUUGGAAGCCCUGGCUCCAACUCCUACCUCAGCUUCCGCCACUUUUACUCUCUUUCCAAUUCACACUCUCUUUCGGUGUGUUGCUUUCUCCAAAGUCUCUUGUCUUUUUGGUUAUCUUGAAGUGGGUAUUUGUGUUUCUACUCAGAAACGAGUUUGGGCAGUCUUCCACAAGAGAACCCAUGAUGGGACCAAGUUUGCUGUCACUGAGAGACCUGUUAAACAGGUGAGACGAGAUUUCUGCACAGAAACAGCUGAAACCUUCAUUGAAGAGCAGAAAUCUAGAUGGGGAAAAUGCUUCUAGGUUUCUUUGAUGAGAGCCGACUUAACAAUUCAGCCUCUAACCUUCUGGAUGCCUUGUUUAGUGAUGAUUGAUUGAAGAGAGUUAACCAUGAGAUAUAACUGGCCUCAAACAUUGAGCAUAGUGUGGCUUGUGGGUCUAUAUUGCCUCAACUGUUGAAAAGUAAAUAUACAACUCAUGCAUAAGCAGUGACACGAGAAAUUUUUUGUAAGUAACUAAUUGACUGAGAGAAAGUUCUUGUUUGAGGGAUUUGUUGCAAAUUACAGUGAUAAUUUGUUGCAAUUGCAAUGAGACAAUGAGUGACUGAGGACAUUAAAAUGAACUUUUUAUCUAUUUUGGUUGGAUUACC
Molecule: long non-coding RNA, 899 nt
Organism: Quercus robur (English oak)
Lineage: Eukaryota; Viridiplantae; Streptophyta; Magnoliopsida; Fagales; Fagaceae
Exons: 2
Source: RefSeq, a predicted model, not a curated record